CCGCAAACCAUUUGCCUAAACACCAGCUAGCUAACCAAGUCUAACCCGAUUCAACUCUCAGGGUCACUUGUCCUAAUGAGCUCGAAAUCCUUAGGGGUCAACAUCUAAUUAAUUUUAAAAUUAAGGCUUGGUUUAAUACAGAAUGAUGGUUAUAAUUUUUGGGCCAAGGAAGGAUGAUCAAAUCCCCACCUUAUCUGAUUAAUGGGUUGCACCCUUAAAGUUAAUUAUGGAGAUGCAAUGCAAAGAAACAAGGUGUCCAAUCAAGUUAGAAAUUUUUAUAUUUG
Molecule: long non-coding RNA, 284 nt
Filed under: Elaeis guineensis (African oil palm)
Lineage: Eukaryota; Viridiplantae; Streptophyta; Magnoliopsida; Arecales; Arecaceae
Description: long non-coding RNA (EGUI_LNC063241)
Source: RNAcentral